ACAAAACGAGGAGGCUAUUCUCUCUCUUCUUGUCUUCCCCAUCGCCUUCUCAUGGUGGCUCUCCCAUCGUUUUUUCUAUGGCCUCUCCCCCAUUAUCUUCUCCAUAAUAGUGAGUCACUUUCUGUUGCGAAGAACUCUUCCUUCGGUUCACCCUUCUCUUCCUUGUUCUUUACCAGAAGUGACAGAUUUUUUGGGGGGCUUUAACGCAAUGACUCUGCUUGUCGCGAGGAAGGCCUCUUCAAUUGGGAAAUACUAAGUUAAAGACACGUUGCAGGCCAAUUUCAAUCUCCUCGAGAUCAAGCUCUCUGAGCUCAAGAUGCCUGGUUCGCUGGUACUCCUGCAAUAUCUUUGGGUGAAGCAUGACCUUGGUUCCAAACUUAGCUUCUUUCAAUCUCCUCCUGACCAACAAGCCCCCAGUAUGUUUCCUUCUCAUCUCCAACCUUUUUAGGAUGGCUUGGGGGAGUUGCUUUCAAGGUGGAAAAAGAUACAGUACCAGUGAGGGCGAUGAGGAUUCCCAUUGUAUCAUUAACUUGUCUUCUGUUGAGAGAUGCCACGAAGCUUCCUUACUCUCUGUUCUUCUCUCGGUGUGGCAAUUAACACCUCCUUUUCUAUUUGUAUAAAUGUCGCAGAAAGAUACAAAUAGAGUGAAUUAAAUAAAAAUGAUGCAAAUGUAAGCUAAUGACACAUUGCUCUUCACAGCCAUCAACGUCAACUACUCUGUUACCUAGAGAGAGUUCGACAACUUCUAUGGAUGUUGCCGCUCCCUCCUUGAUGGUUUGAUGAGGGCCACUGAUGUUAUGAUUGCCGGCAAGGUUGCUGUCGACUGUGGUUAUGGAGAUGUCGGCAAGGGCUGUGCUACUGCCCACGAGGAGACUGGUGCCUGUGUCAAUUGUGACUUAGAGGGGAAGGCAAGGGCUGUGCUGUUUUGAUCAUCUUUGGGGUUGAAUCAAUUUCAAAAUUUUCUUUAAAUUAUUAUUGGUUUUGGAGCUAUAUUGUACGCUUUGUUAACUUACCAGAAACAAUUUCAUUUUUGUGAGUCAUUUCAUCGAA
Long non-coding RNA from Macadamia integrifolia, 1050 nucleotides. RefSeq lists it as uncharacterized. The record is from RefSeq and is a predicted model, not a curated record. Lineage: Eukaryota; Viridiplantae; Streptophyta; Magnoliopsida; Proteales; Proteaceae. The transcript is spliced from 2 exons.